Molecule: long non-coding RNA, 411 nt
Organism: Polypterus senegalus (gray bichir)
Lineage: Eukaryota; Metazoa; Chordata; Cladistia; Polypteriformes; Polypteridae
Exons: 3
Source: RefSeq, a predicted model, not a curated record
GUUGUCUUGAGUGUGAGCGAGUGGAACUGGUGGUGGACGCUGAGCACCGACAAACUAUCCAGUGAGGGCACCUAACUCCACAACUUCUGGUUCCCGACCAUAAGAACAUCAACUGACCAGAACACUACAUCAUUUUGAAUAACUGAAGAAUCCCCACAAUAACAUCACUUCCAGUUCCAACCCACAAGAUCCCACCUCUUCAUGAUGUCACUUCCAGUUCCAACCCUCAAGACCCCACCUCUUCAUGCCACCACUUCUGGUUCCAGAAUGCCUUUCACCCAUAACAUCACUUCCUGCAACCGUCUAUAUAUUUACCGCCUCUCUUUUUGCCAGUUCCAUUUUGAACUGUCUGUGAAGACGUCAUUUCCUUUGCUUGUGCUACAGUAUAUGGGGGAUCCCCCCCCAAAGCUU